This 845-nucleotide ribosomal RNA is filed under the name Curvularia spicifera. RNAcentral describes it as "eukaryotic LSU rRNA". It matches the Rfam family "Eukaryotic large subunit ribosomal RNA", at positions 69 to 932 of the family's 3401-position model. The record is from RNAcentral. Lineage: Eukaryota; Fungi; Ascomycota; Dothideomycetes; Pleosporales; Pleosporaceae.
CAGGGAUUGCCCUAGUAACGGCGAGUGAAGCGGCAACAGCUCAAAUUUGAAAUCUGGCUCUUUCAGAGUCCGAGUUGUAAUUUGCAGAGGGCGCUUUGGCUUUGGCAGCGGUCCAAGUUCCUUGGAACAGGACGUCACAGAGGGUGAGAAUCCCGUACGUGGUCGCUAGCUAUUGCCGUGUAAAGCCCCUUCGACGAGUCGAGUUGUUUGGGAAUGCAGCUCUAAAUGGGAGGUAAAUUUCUUCUAAAGCUAAAUAUUGGCCAGAGACCGAUAGCGCACAAGUAGAGUGAUCGAAAGAUGAAAAGCACUUUGGAAAGAGAGUCAAACAGCACGUGAAAUUGUUGAAAGGGAAGCGCUUGCAGCCAGACUUGCUUGCAGUUGCUCAUCCGGGCUUUUGCCCGGUGCACUCUUCUGCAGGCAGGCCAGCAUCAGUUUGGGCGGUGGGAUAAAGGUCUCUGUCACGUACCUUCCUUCGGGUUGGCCUUAUAGGGGAGACGCCAUACCACCAGCCUGGACUGAGGUCCGCGCAUCUGCUAGGAUGCUGGCGUAAUGGCUGUAAGCGGCCCGUCUUGAAACACGGACCAAGGAGUCUAACAUCUAUGCGAGUGUUUGGGUGUCAAGCCCGAGCGCGUAAUGAAAGUGAACGGAGGUGGGAACCCGCAAGGGUGCACCAUCGACCGAUCCUGAAGUUUACGGAAGGAUUUGAGUAAGAGCAUGGCUGUUGGGACCCGAAAGAUGGUGAACUAUGCUUGAAUAGGGUGAAGCCAGAGGAAACUCUGGUGGAGGCUCGCAGCGGUUCUGACGUGCAAAUCGAUCGUCAAAUUUGGGCAUAGGGGCGAAAGACU